Castor canadensis (American beaver) is the source of this 537-nucleotide non-coding RNA. Lineage: Eukaryota; Metazoa; Chordata; Mammalia; Rodentia; Castoridae. The record is from RefSeq and is a predicted model, not a curated record.
GUAUUUAAGUCCUCAUUUUGCUUGUCUUCCCUGGACUGAGGAAGUAGAUCUGCAUCCUGGAUUUUGUGCAGAAAGAGUUGUCCAGUCAGCCUUUAUUCUUUAGCUUCUUUCAGAAUGUGGGAUAUUUCAAAUUCUCCUGGGGUCUGGAAUCAUGUUUAUUUUCAUUUCUAGAGUCCAAUUUGGAUGUCUAUGUCUACCUGGAAGAGCCUCAUCCACCUAGUCACAAAGCAUACGAACCAGGUUUGGGCUAUUCUCCAGGUGUUUCCUAUAUAAAUGGAUUUUUAAAAGCAAAUUUAAAAAGCACAAGUGUCAAGUAAUGGAUAAACAAUUAGAUGAUCAACCAGUGGAUGAUGGUGUAUAAAGUUUUCAUUGUGGAUAUGACAUGUUCCCAAAGCCAUUAUAAUUAAAGCAAGCUGUCCUGAACUUAACUUUAUCUCUGAAAAGAAGAACAUUCAAGUUUAAAAAGAGUUUCAAAACUCCAAGGCUUCUCAUAACACAAUAGUACUAUGAGGAGAUAAACAUGGCUUCCUUUCCCCC